CUCCGCUCUCGCUCUCGGGUCGCCGCCGCCUGCUUGGGCUCUGGCUGGGGGACCCGGACCCGCGGCGUAGGGUCAGCCCAUGGAGGAAGUUCUGCUCUGGAGCUCAUUUGAAGAAGCGGUUUUAAACCUUGGAGGCGAAAAAAGUCCUUUUGGAAUCAGAGAAGCAAAAGGAUUUGAGGCUGGAUCUGAAUGCCCAGUGGGUAUGUGAAUGUUCAGAAGAAGUGCCAUGUAACGGAGAACAAGAAAGACAAGGAAUCAGUAUUAACUUGGGAAAGCCUAUAAGACCUAAUGCCAUGAGAACCAUUUACCCAGUGACCACAAUGUAAAGUAAAACAUCCCUAAGAAGCAGUCGAAUUCAUAUUAAUAUAAUAACAAAUCUUGAUUCCAGAAGACUGGUGAUGAAACCCAUUUCACUCUCUAGAGGUUGUGGGAUCCAGGUGUGCAAUCUUGUAUAUACUGCCAAGGUUGAUGUGGA
Molecule: long non-coding RNA, 475 nt
Organism: Trichosurus vulpecula (common brushtail)
Lineage: Eukaryota; Metazoa; Chordata; Mammalia; Diprotodontia; Phalangeridae
Exons: 4
Source: RefSeq, a predicted model, not a curated record